CACCUUUUCUUUCGGUGUCA
Molecule: non-coding RNA, 20 nt
Filed under: Arabidopsis thaliana (thale cress)
Lineage: Eukaryota; Viridiplantae; Streptophyta; Magnoliopsida; Brassicales; Brassicaceae
Source: RNAcentral